Long non-coding RNA from Hyla sarda, 1099 nucleotides. RefSeq lists it as uncharacterized. NCBI's taxonomy places the organism in Eukaryota, Metazoa, Chordata, Amphibia, Anura, Hylidae. The transcript is spliced from 4 exons. The record is from RefSeq and is a predicted model, not a curated record.
CCUCCCCUUCAGAUAACACUUAUCUUCUCUGUGAGGUCCUUCUCCUGUGCAGACCUGCAUCCUUAGAAUACAGAGCAGGGGGGAGGGGAGGUAAUGAGCUGUGUACUCAGCUGGAUGAGAUGAGGGGGCGUGGCUUAUUCCUCUCAUGCAGACAAAGGGGGAAAAAAAAGCUGUGACAUCUUGUCCUCAACAGCCUCAGAACUGUGGACAACAGUAAAGGAAAACCCUCUGAACUACAGAACUUCCUGCCCAACAAACAGACAUAGACAUAGAAUGGCCACUUUAUUAGAGAAACCUGCCAUUUCACGUGUGGAAUUUCCUGUAUGGAGUUGAUUCAUGUAACCUAGACUGAAGAAAAGUUAAGUGAUCUAAGCAACUUCAAAUAAGGCCUGGUCAUCGGUGCUAGACUAGCCAGGUUUCCAGUGCCAAAGAAAGCAAAGCAGCCCCAGAGCAUCACGUGCAGUCCAAUUACUGUAGGUGUAUGUCGUGAAGUUUGGAUACAUAGACCUUCAUUAUUAUGCUACUUACAGCAAAAAGAGAAACCUCAUUGCCUGCUGCCAUUAAAUCUUGCUACGAGUCUUUUGCAGUAACUUGAGGGUUUUUGACCACCUGUCCCCUCGGGAAUCUAGUGGCCGCUGGUUAUAGCUUUCUUGUUCUGUUGUAUUCUGUUGACUGUGUUUCUUUACUUUUGUUCUUGCAAACUAUGCUUCCAACUGUAUCUCCAAACAUACAACAUUCAAUGACUGUGCUAUCUUUUUGUAUCCUUUCCCUUGUUUACACAAGGCAAUGAUCUCUUUUUAAGGUUUUUUAUCCCAAGCACACCUGGGGCAACUAGUGAAGCCCUUGAUGCAUGAAACAACACCUGGUUUACAAAUAUGUGUUUUUUUUUUAAAUUGCAUGUUAUGUUUAGUUGUGUUGAGCUAUUUAAAUUCUAUUUAUUUAUUUUGUAAACAGUGAAAGUUGAAUAAUUGGUUGCAAUUGUACCUCAGGGCAGAAGACAUUUAUACAUUUCAGAUGGCCCAGAGAAUGUAAACUGAGCGGCAGACAUGCAAUGCUUGUUUCUCAGAAAGUACAGAAGCAGGAAUUCAUGCCUUUGACA